This 3247-nucleotide long non-coding RNA is filed under the name Sinocyclocheilus grahami. RNAcentral's name for it is "lncRNA (ENSSGRG00000029803.1)". Lineage: Eukaryota; Metazoa; Chordata; Actinopteri; Cypriniformes; Cyprinidae. The record is from RNAcentral.
GAAAAAUGUUUAAUUGUGUGUAUAAAUACUGUUUCCACAACUGAAUGCCAUCAAACAUGAUGCAUAAUUUCAGAUGUGAAUAAAACUACACUUUGGUGUCAUUCUCAUGACUUAAAAAAAAAUAAAAAAAUAAAUAAAUGUUCCAUGGAAGAAGGAACGUCUCUUCCAAACAGGUUUGUAACAUAAUGGUGAGUAAAUUAUGACAAAAUUCUAAUUUUUAGGGGUGAACUAUCCCAUUUUUCACUAUGGACAUAUUUGGCACUAGUUUAAUUUGUCAAUUAACAAUUGUCCAAUAGAGAACAUACAUACAUCACAGCAGAAUUCUUUCCUUUUAAAUGAACUAUGGAUAUAAUUUCAAAUAUAAAUGCUAUAUGUGGGUAUAGAAUAUUCCAUUUUCUUUGGCGUCAUAAAUUAAGCAUGCACAGUUAAAAUGAAUAUGUAUCUGCUGCUAUGAAUCAUGUUAUAUUUCCUGUCUUCUGGACCUCGUUCCAUUAUGUUGAACGCCCCCAUAGAUAUGUAAAAACAACCUUUUGUCUGAGGGCUGAAAAGUGAAGGCAAUUUGUCUGUGGCAACCAGCAGAGCUCUCAGACAGGAGAAUGUGUUAAUGAGGAUCCGAGAUUAAAGAGAUCAAUGAAAGGCCCGUUAAGCGCUUAACCGGUGCGCUAUCACUUAACAAGCGCAGUUUUUGACAAUGCUUAAAGAGAGCACACGGCCCAAACCAGUUGACUUCUAGGUAAUUGCUUUUCUUUUUAUUUCGCUGCACUUCUCUGUCCUCUUUAAUGGUGCUGUCUUGCCAUCCUUUCUCUAAGCAGACAAAGAAUCACUCAUUCUGUGGCAUCGUCAAUGAAUCGAUGCCACGCUCCCCUCAUCAUUCGCUCUCUCUCUCUCUGUCUCUCUCGGUUUCUUGGUCAGUCAGGGUACAUAACCUGUGCAAAGCCUUUUGCUUCUCUGUGCACAUCAUUUCAAAGUGGAUUCUUAUUGAGCAACACAAGCUAUGCGUCCAUCCAGUAUUUUGACCUUUGAACCGGGGUUGGAGUCUGGAGUGCCAUGGGGCCGUGAUCUUUUUACUUUUGUGACUUCAGCAGCUGGUCACAUGAUGAGGACUUUGCAAAGACCACGUAAAAACAAGCCAUCAAAACGACAAGUCAAUCAUCGCAGGUUUCUGCACAACAUGAUACAGAGAAAAUUUGCUGAAAUAGAGGCAGCGAACCAUCAGCUGGCGUCUGCUUUAUUUGCAACUGAUAAACCCCCCGAUCAUCUAACUCCCAGACUAUCUCACAUUGUAACGGAAGUCACAGACCAGUCACCCAAACCUUCAAAAAAAGCUAUUGAAACUUGUAUAAAUGCUGACAAAACCGAAGCGCUUCCUGAACAACAAGAGGAUGUGUGUGACCUCUGGACAUUGGACAGUCUUUUGGACACCCAUGUGGCUGAUAAAAGUUUCUCACCGUGCAAGUUCUCCAACAGUAGAGGAAGAAAUCCGAGAACUGAGAAAGACGGCAAAGCUUUGAAAAACAACCCUGAAAGCUCAAUGGAGAAGGACAUCGACUUCAGCUUCAGCUUCGAAAGGCAGCCAGCAUCUACUGAUUUUGAAAGCUUGACACAAAUGAACGACAGUCUCCUAGAGGACAGCAUGUCCUCCUGGUUUGGGUCCAUUGAAAGAACAAGAACAUAUUCAAAACCAUAUCUCACCAAGUACCAUGACGUGAAGUUGCUCCCCACAGACGUUGAUGUUCAAGACCUGUCACCUCCUUCUCCGGUGGUUUCACUCUUGUCUUUGGAUUCAUGUGAUUUGGAGGUUCAGAUGCUCAUAGAUGCAGAGCACAAUGUGAACCAAAUGCAAGAUGCCACCAUCGUAGAGAGUCUCCAAAUGGAUAUGGUGGAUGACCUUGACCUCUUGGAUAAAAUGGCUGAGUGGAUGGAUCACAGUGAAGAGGAUGGACGAUGUUUACAGGAAACAUGUGAGUUUCCAAGCUCUCUGGAUUCAGAUCUAGAGAACCUAACAGGUUCUGGUGGUGAGGCCACCAACUCCAUGUCCAAUUUGGGCCAAACGGGUCAUUCAUUUUUUGCUAAUGUUCUCUGUAGUCAAGAGCCACAUAGACGUAGUUUCCAUCAUGAUCAAAUAAACUAUGCUAUGAACCACAAUAUCAUUCUAGAAGACCGGUUUGGUCAGGCUGAACCUUGCAUGAAGACGAAUGGAAAGGAGGAUUGUUAUUUAGAUACAGAUUUUUCUGUCAUGGAUGGUAAUGUUUCAAGCAACCACAUGUUCCCAGGAUUUGAGAGACAGUUGGACCAAUCCAAAAGCAUUCUUCAUGACGACUGGGAACAGCAACCUCUAAAAAGUUCAUACAAGAACUAUACAAGUACAGAUCAGAUUAUGAUGCAAGAAACUGAUAUCAGAAAUGUUGACAAAAACAUUGUGCAGGUUGAGAAUCUCAACCAGACUUUAUCAGGCCCCCAAUGCCCGAUAACAUGCUGCCUUGAAGGCUUUUGUUAUCAUAAAGAAGACUCGUGUUUUUACACAAAAUUCAGAGGCAGUCACAACUUUGAGGGCGUGGCUAGAUCUUUCCCAGCCACACUGCAUAAGCUCCACCCCACUCCAAUUCCGACUCCACCUCUAGAUGAUGAUUGGUUGUUUAGUAAUAUUGUGGCAGAGGAAGAGGUAAAUAGCAUGAAUAAUACAUUUGGAAAGUACUGAUCAGUCAAUGGACAGUAAUUGUUGUUUUCAUGAAUUUCAUUGUACCUGGGGAUGUUUGAUUUUUACACUUUUGUGAUUUUAUGAUCAUUUCUGUGAAAUGUUCUUGUCUGUGGUGUGAAAAAUUGAAUAUUUUCUGUAAUAAAAACUGUAUGAGUAUUGUAACAUAAUACAAAAAAAAAAUUUAUUUAAAUGGAUCAAUUUACUUUUCAAAUGUAAAAUUAUUGUAUUUAAAGAGCCCUGUGAUGGACUGGCCAUCAGUUCAGUGUUUCAUUGUCUUUGGUCCAAUAUGGUUGGACAGGCUUAAAAAAUUGCUUUAAAAGUUAUUAAAAUAUUAUUUUAUUUUUGCGUUUAAGUUACAUUAUGAACAUGAAUUAAACUUUGAAAUUUUAAAUGUCUGUUUAUUUAUCAAUUUAAAGUGAUUUAUUGUUAUACUUAACUACACUUUUAAAUGUAAAAUGAAGUUUUAAAUAUCUAUUUAUUCAUUUGAAAAGCGAUUUAUUGAUUAAUUAAUUUAUUCAUUUACUAUUAUUUUAUUUUAUUUUUAGAUAU